Molecule: long non-coding RNA, 247 nt
Filed under: Salvia miltiorrhiza (redroot sage)
Lineage: Eukaryota; Viridiplantae; Streptophyta; Magnoliopsida; Lamiales; Lamiaceae
Description: long non-coding RNA (SMIL_LNC004134)
Source: RNAcentral
GAAAAGAUGUUGUUAAGGGGUCACUCCCUGAAUCAACAUGUCAACCCUCCACCUCUGGGGUAAAAGAGGGAGAGAUCAGCCUUAGGCCCAUGACAGGCCAAGUUAAGGUUGAUACUAAUCUUAUUAUUUCUUCUCCUUCUUGGCAAAAUUAUCAAGACAGGUGGGAGAAACUUCUUACGAGAAGGGGCAUUAAUCCGGGAAAUUGCCGAGUUGAUGUUGCAGGAAAAUAUCCAAGGGUUUGGUUCAC